AAACAGUGGCUAUGGACCCAAAGUGUUGCCUGGAAUGCCAUAUUUGAAAAUGAUGAUCAUCUAAUCAGACAUGACCAGACACUUUUAAGAAGCUAAGGUUGACUUCGUGGAGCCCGUGCUUACAAAACUCUGUUUGGAACAUUGGCCUUGUUCCUGGUUUACAGGUCUCCUGGCCUUGUAGCCAUGGCGAGCGCCGGAGUCUCCUCAGCUGCUGCUUCACAAAAGAGCUACCAGGUCUGCACUGAACGAUCAUACCAAGAAGCUUUUAAAAGCACGACCUGAAGUUUCUUAUGAAAACUGACAGCAGAGCAAACUCAGGAAGGCCUGUGGCCCAUCCAUCUUUUAAGAUGUCUGAUCUCCAGGACCCUGCCACCUGACCUUUGCUACCACCUUCCAAAAGAUGGUUCAACUGGUUUUAUCAGAACCACACCAACAAGAAUCCACGGGAUACAAGUUUUCUUUUUCAUUAUCUUUUUUUAUUGGAGUAUA
Non-coding RNA from Callorhinus ursinus (northern fur seal), 489 nucleotides. The record is from RefSeq and is a predicted model, not a curated record. NCBI's taxonomy places the organism in Eukaryota, Metazoa, Chordata, Mammalia, Carnivora, Otariidae.